Molecule: small nucleolar RNA, 105 nt
Organism: Salvia splendens (bonfire salvia)
Lineage: Eukaryota; Viridiplantae; Streptophyta; Magnoliopsida; Lamiales; Lamiaceae
Product: small nucleolar RNA Z103
Exons: 1
Source: RefSeq, a predicted model, not a curated record
AUGGAAGUGAUGAAUUUUUCCCCAGAUGAUUUGACGUUGAAAUAACUGAGCGCUCUUAUAUUUUUUCCUUCUCUGGAGAAAAUUCAAGCCAAUAUUCUAAUCCAU